This 497-nucleotide ribosomal RNA is filed under the name uncultured bacterium. RNAcentral describes it as "partial 16S ribosomal RNA". It matches the Rfam family "Bacterial small subunit ribosomal RNA", at positions 28 to 507 of the family's 1533-position model. The record is from RNAcentral.
GAUGAACGCUGGCGGCGUGCCUAAUACAUGCAAGUCGAGCGAACAGACGAGGAGCUUGCUCCUCUGACGUUAGCGGCGGACGGGUGAGUAACACGUGGAUAACCUACCUAUAAGACUGGGAUAACUUCGGGAAACCGGAGCUAAUACCGGAUAAUAUAUUGAACCGCAUUGUUCAAUAGUGAAAGACGGUGUUGCUGUCACUUAUCGAUGGAUCCGCGCCGCAUUAGCUAGUUGGUAAGGUAACGGCUUACCAAGGCAACGAUGCGUAGCCGAACUGAGAGGGUGAUCGGCCACCCUGGAACUGAGACACGGUCCAGAGUCCUACGGGAGGCAGCAGUAGGGAAUCUUACGCAAUGGGCGAAAGCAUGACGGAGCAACGCCGCGUGAGAGAUGAAGGUCUUCGGAUCGUAAAACUCUGUUACUAGGGAAGAACAAAUGUGUAAGUAACUAUGCACGUCUUGACGGUACCUAAUCAGAAAGCCACGGCUAACUACGUG